This is a long non-coding RNA of Stegostoma tigrinum, 1260 nucleotides long. RefSeq lists it as uncharacterized. Lineage: Eukaryota; Metazoa; Chordata; Chondrichthyes; Orectolobiformes; Stegostomatidae. The record is from RefSeq and is a predicted model, not a curated record. The transcript is spliced from 3 exons.
UUGUAUCUGAGAUGACACCAGGAAUGACAACAUUGUACAUUUUUCACUAUAACUCAUGUACUUCUGUACUUGAGUAAAUGUGACAAUAAAAUCUAAAUCUAAGGGAUAACUUUUCACACAGAGGGUGGUGCUAAUAUGGAAUGAACUGCAAGAGGAAGUGAUGGAGGCAGAUACAGCAUUUAAAAAAUCUUUUGGACAGCGCCAGGGACCUGGGUUUGACUCCACCCUCGGGCGACUGUCUGUGUGGACUUUGCAUUUUCUCCAUGUCCGUUUGGGGUUCCUCCCACAGUCGAAAGAUGUGCAGGCUAAGUGAAUUGAUCAUGCUUUGUCUCAGUCAUUUAACUCCAUUCUGCACUGAGUGUGCAUCCUUAGUGGCAUCUGUAGCUCGGACAUGCAUCUCCACUCAUUUGAAGCUUUAACCAUGACCAGGCCCAUCAGUGACUGGAGGAAGGGCUUGCCAGACGGCAGAGGGUGAUCUCCUGAUGUCGGACACUCUGGAAGAGGCCCACCUCUUGAAAGGAACAGCAGCAUGAAGUUCAAAGAAGAAGAGAUGGAGGGGCCUCCAUCUUGAGUCUGCAAUUUUUAAAACAUUUACCUUUUUAAGAGCUAUAGAGAAAACCCAGAGCUGUAACUGCACAGAAGCCAUUUGGCCCACCUUGGCUGCACCAGCUCUAUUGCCAAUCCCUUGCCUUUUCCCCAUUUCCACGUAAACCCUUUCCAUCCAAAUAAUCCCACACACUCCAACCCUGUAUUUCCGAUGGCUAAUCCUGGGCACUGUGGGCAAUUUAGCAGGGCCAAUCUACCUAACCUGUGGGAGGAAACCCAUGCAGACAUGGGGUGAAUGUGUGAACUCCACACAAACAGUUGCCUGAGGCUGGAAUUGAACGUGGGUCCCUGGUGCUGUGAGGAGGCAGUGUUAACCUCUGAAUCACCAUGCUGCCCCAAGACAACUAGAUAGCAUUUUGAUAGAUAACGGAGUCUAUAGCUACGGGAGCAUAGGAAAAUGGAGCUGAGGCAACAAGAUCAGCCAUGAUCUUAAUGAAUAGCUCGAAGGAGCGAAUGGCCUACUUAUAUUUCAAUGCUGUAAGCCUGCCAAGAGUACUGACCCUCCAUCAGGAGUCUGCAUCCAAGCUUUUAACCUGGAUCCCUGAGGGGACCCCAAAGAUCAACCUGAAAUUUCAAUCAGCCUCUGCCUUAAAAUGCCUGAAAUGGUUAAGCGUUGAUUAUGGGUGCUAGUCCCCCAUCCGACCUUGAUCCUGC